GAUGAAGAACGUAGCGAAAUGCGAUAAGUAAUGUGAAUUGCAGAAUUCAGUGAAUCAUCGAAUCUUUGAACGCACAUUGCGCCCGCCAGUAUUCUGGCGGGCAUGCCUGUCUGGGCGUCAUUUCAACCCUCAUGCCCCUAGGGCGUGGUGUUGGGGAUCGGCCAAAGCCCGCGAGGGACGGCCGGCCCCUAAAUCUAGUGGCGGACCCGUCGUGGCCUCCUCUGCGAAGUAGUGAUAUUCCGCAUCGGAGAGCGACGAGCCCCUGCCGUUAAACCCCCAACUUUCCAAGGUUGACCUCAGAUCAGGUAGGAAUACCCGCUGAACUUAAGCAUAUCAAUAAGCGGAGGA
Molecule: unclassified non-coding RNA, 348 nt
Filed under: soil metagenome
Description: partial contains 5.8S ribosomal RNA, internal transcribed spacer 2, and large subunit ribosomal RNA
Rfam family: 5.8S ribosomal RNA (bases 1-120)
Source: RNAcentral